Molecule: ribosomal RNA, 406 nt
Filed under: uncultured bacterium
Lineage: Bacteria
Description: partial 16S ribosomal RNA
Rfam family: Bacterial small subunit ribosomal RNA
Source: RNAcentral
AUUGAACGCUGGCGGCAGGCCUAACACAUGCAAGUCGGACGAGUGGCGGACGGGUGAGUAAUGUAUGGGGAACUGCCUGAUGGAGGGGGAUAACUACUGGAAACGGUAGCUAAUACCGCAUACCAUCAGAUGUGCCCAGAUGGGAUUAGCUAGUUGGUGGGGUAACGGCUCACCAGGGCGACGAUCCCUAGCUGGUCUGAGAGGAUGACCAUGCAGCAGGGAACUGAGAAACGGUCCAUACGCCUACGGGAGGCAGCAGUGGGGAAUAUUGCACAAGGGGCGCAAGCCUGAUGCAGCCAUGCCGCGUGUAUGAAGAAGGCCUUCGGGUUGUAAAGUACUUUCAGCCGGGAGGCGUUACCCGCAGAAGAAGCACCGGCUAACUCCGGGCCAGCAGCCGCGGUAAUUC